UACGCUGGCGGUAGCCUACCAUGCAAGUCGAACGGCAGCACAGAGAGCUUGCUCUUAUGGUGUGACGAGUGGCGGACGGGUGAGUAAUACAUCUCGAAACUCCCUCGUGGCGGGGGAUAUCGCAUGGAAACUCUCACUAAUAUCCGCAUAACGUCGACGGGUGAAAGAGGGGGAUCUUCGGGCCUUGCGCUAUUAUAUGAGCCUAGGUCGGAUUAGCUAGUUGGCGAGGAAAGGGCUCACCAAGGCGACGAUCCGUAUCUGGUCUGAGAGGAUGAUCAGCCACACUGGAACUGAGACACGGUCCAGACUCCUACGGGAGGCAGCAGUGGGGAAUAUUGGACAAUGGGCGAAAGCCUGAUCCAGCCAUGCCGCGUGUGUGAAGAAGGUCUUCGGUGUGUAAAGCCCUUUUGGUUGGGAGGAACCCCAGUGCUCUAAUACGUGUGUGAUUUGACGUUACCCACAGAAUAAGCACCGGCUAACUCUGUGCCAGCAGCCGCGGUAAUACAGAGGGUGCAAGCGUUACUCGGAAUUACUGGGCGUAAAGCGCGCGUAUGUG
Molecule: ribosomal RNA, 556 nt
Filed under: Pseudomonas sp. LBA5
Lineage: Bacteria; Pseudomonadati; Pseudomonadota; Gammaproteobacteria; Pseudomonadales; Pseudomonadaceae
Description: bacterial SSU rRNA
Rfam family: Bacterial small subunit ribosomal RNA
Source: RNAcentral